This 497-nucleotide ribosomal RNA is filed under the name uncultured bacterium. RNAcentral's name for it is "partial 16S ribosomal RNA". It matches the Rfam family "Bacterial small subunit ribosomal RNA", at positions 28 to 507 of the family's 1533-position model. The record is from RNAcentral.
GAUGAACGCUGGCGGCGUGCCUAAUACAUGCAAGUCGAGCGAACGGACGAGAAGCUUGCUUCUCUGAUGUUAGCGGCGGACGGGUGAGUAACACGUGGAUAACCUACCUAUAAGACUGGGAUAACUUCGGGAAACCGGAGCUAAUACCGGAUAAUAUUUUGAACCGCAUGGUUCAAAAGUGAAAGACGGUCUUGCUGUCACUUAUAGAUGGAUCCGCGCUGCAUUAGCUAGUUGGUAAGGUAACGGCUUACCAAGGCAACGAUGCAUAGCCGACCUGAGAGGGUGAUCGGCCACACUGGAACUGAGACACGGUCCAGACUCCUACGGGAGGCAGCAGUAGGGAAUCUUCCGCAAUGGGCGAAAGCCUGACGGAGCAACGCCGCGUGAGUGAUGAAGGUCUUCGGAUCGUAAAACUCUGUUAUUAGGGAAGAACAUAUGUGUAAGUAACUGUGCACAGCGUGACGGUACCUAAUCAGAAAGCCACGGCUAACUACGUG